This 204-nucleotide ribosomal RNA is filed under the name Triticum aestivum (bread wheat). Its description in RNAcentral is "partial small subunit ribosomal RNA". The record is from RNAcentral. Lineage: Eukaryota; Viridiplantae; Streptophyta; Magnoliopsida; Poales; Poaceae.
AUGCGAGAGCAGGUCCGCCAAAAAGCUUCCCGUCAGUUAACAAACUGUAUCGUGCCCGACAGCCGUCCGACCAACGACUGCACAGCUGUGAUCAGGGUGUGGAACACCGUAUUAACCCCAAGCUCUCUCCUAAUUCCGAUACCACCACAGAAAACAAAUCAAGCUCACGCCAACCAAACCUUCCUCAACUAUCUAAAGAUAUGA